UCCUUCGUGGUGUAGUGGUCAGCACACUCGACGCGUAACCGAGAAAUCCGUGGUUCAAUCCCCGGCUAUGGUG
RNAcentral lists this transfer RNA (73 nucleotides) under Stegodyphus mimosarum. It matches the Rfam family "tRNA". Rfam says of the family: Transfer RNA (tRNA) molecules are approximately 80 nucleotides in length. Their secondary structure includes four short double-helical elements and three loops (D, anti-codon, and T loops). The record is from Rfam by way of RNAcentral. Lineage: Eukaryota; Metazoa; Arthropoda; Arachnida; Araneae; Eresidae.